Molecule: non-coding RNA, 88 nt
Organism: Gossypium hirsutum (cotton)
Lineage: Eukaryota; Viridiplantae; Streptophyta; Magnoliopsida; Malvales; Malvaceae
Source: Rfam
CUCAAGGAAGCGCUUUGUCUACAUGGACACAAAGCAUGCCCUCAAGGACACGUUUUUUUGUCCACGUGGACAAAGCGCUUCCUUGAAG